Molecule: ribosomal RNA, 253 nt
Filed under: uncultured bacterium
Lineage: Bacteria
Description: partial 16S ribosomal RNA
Rfam family: Bacterial small subunit ribosomal RNA
Source: RNAcentral
UACGUAGGGAGCAAGCGUUGUCCGGAAUCAUUGGGCGUAAAGCGCGCGUAGGCGGCCAGAUAAGUCCGGUGUGAAAGUCACAGGCUCAACCUGUGAAUGCCGCUGGAAACUGUCUGGCUAGAGUCCGGAAGGGGCGAGUGGAAUUCCUGGUGUAGCGGUGAAAUGCGCAGAUAUCAGGAGGAACACCAGAGGCGAAGGCGGCGACCUGGACAAGUACUGACACUCAACUACGAAAGCGUGGGGAGCAAACAGG